CUCUGUGGGCCCAGGGUGGAAGGUGGACGAGAGAGAGAUAAAGGGCGUGAGCUCACGAUGCUGUACCAGGUGCCCACCCCUCUGUGCCCCCCGAGCCAUUCAUUAUAAACUGCCUUUUCAAGUAUAAACUGGUAGCCUGGUUCUGAUGAAAGCAGGCACGGGGUGUUUUCUUCUUUGAGGGCUGUUGGCAGUCUUUACAGGUUCUACAAGAUUUUAUAACACACACAUCCAGCCUGAGGUGAUGAUGUACAUGCAUGGGCAUUAGAUGACCGCUGAAUAGGUGCAAAAGUGGUGCAGUGGCUAAAGCACUAGACUUGCAACCAUGAGCUUGCAAGUUGGAACCCUGCCAUAGGCCAGAAUGAUGCUGUGGUUUUCUCUCUCAUGAAUAGUCUUGAGAAGAUAACAUAAAAUAGUAGUGAUACAAAAAGAUUUUUAUGCCUAAGACACCAAAAAUUCCAGGUUCAAUCCCAGGUACCAACUAAAGCCAGAGAUAAGCAGUGCUCUAAUUAUGUAAAUAAAUAAGGGCUGCGGUGACGUCAUAAUGGUUAUGCAAAAAGGCCUUCAUGCAUAA
Long non-coding RNA from Erinaceus europaeus (western European hedgehog), 571 nucleotides. RefSeq lists it as uncharacterized. The transcript has 2 exons. Lineage: Eukaryota; Metazoa; Chordata; Mammalia; Eulipotyphla; Erinaceidae. The record is from RefSeq and is a predicted model, not a curated record.